UCGAGUCCUGAAAUAUCAUGCUCUUGGCUGAGGAAUUGGCGGGGGAGCACAGUAAUAGGCGGGUGGUAUACACACGGGCUCGGGCAAUACCGGCCACCGUUUCGCCGGGGUUUCACCGGGGGCCCGAGUGGUGAUCGUGAUUAUUGGGUCUAAAGGGUCCGUAGCCGGUUUGGUCAGUCCUCCGGGAAAUCUGAUAACUCAACUAUUAGGCUUUCGGGGGAUACUGCCAAACUUGCAACCGGGAGAGGUAAAAGGUACUACAGGGGUAGGAGUGAAAUCUUGUAAUCCCUGUGGGACCACCUGUGGUGAAGGCGUCUUACCAGAACGGGUUCGACGGUAGGGACUAAAGCUGGGGGCACGAACCGGAUUAGAUACCCGGGUAGUCCCAACCGUAAACGAUGCUCGCUAAGUGUCAGGCAUGGCGCGACCGUGUCUGGUGCCGCAGGAAGCCUUGAAGCGAUCCACCUGGGAAGUACGGCCGCAAGGCUGAAACUUAAAGGAAUUGGCG
RNAcentral lists this ribosomal RNA (508 nucleotides) under uncultured prokaryote. RNAcentral describes it as "bacterial SSU rRNA". It matches the Rfam family "Archaeal small subunit ribosomal RNA", at positions 400 to 870 of the family's 1478-position model. The record is from RNAcentral.